Eupeodes corollae is the source of this 815-nucleotide long non-coding RNA. RefSeq lists it as uncharacterized. NCBI's taxonomy places the organism in Eukaryota, Metazoa, Arthropoda, Insecta, Diptera, Syrphidae. The record is from RefSeq and is a predicted model, not a curated record. The transcript has 3 exons.
UCGCGUAAGGAACACGAACUAUUAUGAAGUAGUAAUUCCAGAGUACAGUUUAGAAGAAUUCCGUUGCCAUUUUCGAAUGAGUCGAAGUUGUUUUUCGGAUCUUAUGAAAAAGAUUGGAAAUCUCAAGCGUGUUCAUCAUUUGGAAACAAAUUUUUGUAUACUAUUUGGAUUUUAAGUAAACAAGAGUUUUUUGUCCUCUGGUGAUCGUUUCAAUUUAGCACCAAGUUCGGCACACAAAUCAUUUUGUCAGAUUCUGGAUUUGUUGUGUUCCCUUUUGGCUUAAUACAUUAAGUAGCCAUCAAAAAGCCAAUAAAAUGAUAUAUCCCGGGUAUGUGUACAUAAAAUGUUUGACAAAUUCAGUUCAUCAUUUUGAAAUAACACACACAUAAAUAUUAUUAUGAAGGUAUUUCGAGAAAAAUCAGGAGGUUAUAUUCCUGGAAUCGUUGGUGCGACAGAUGGGUGUCACAUUCAAAUCAAACAGCCGGUGAAGAACCCUAUAGACUAUUACAACAGAAAAAUACGCAUUCCAUUAUUUUACAAGAGUUUGUGACCAUCGAGGUGUUUUAAUCGGUAUUUAUGCAGGCGAUUGUGAUGAUUGAAAUAUUUGGAUGUUUCAAGUCCUAUGCUGGCCAAUAAAAUUAUAACAGCUAGUUGCAUUUUGCACAACCACAUUCAUUUAUUUAAUGAAUCCGGAAAAUUUUCUGACAUCGAAACUGAAAAUGAUGACGAUCUGUUAAACGAUUUAAAUUCAAAUCAUAACAUGGAAAAUCAAGAGAGAAGCAGCUGUGCUAGGAAAAGAAACUUCUUGUUGAACA